UACGAAGGGGGCUAGCGUUGCUCGGAAUCACUGGGCGUAAAGCGCACGUAGGCGGAUUGUUAAGUCAGGGGUGAAAUCCUGGAGCUCAACUCCAGAACUGCCUUUGAUACUGACGGUCUUGAGUCCGGGAGAGGUGAGUGGAACUCCGAGUGUAGAGGUGAAAUUCGUAGAUAUUCGGAAGAACACCAGUGGCGAAGGCGGCUCACUGGCCCGGUACUGACGCUGAGGUGCGAAAGCGUGGGGAGCAAACAGG
Molecule: ribosomal RNA, 253 nt
Filed under: uncultured bacterium
Lineage: Bacteria
Description: partial 16S ribosomal RNA
Rfam family: Bacterial small subunit ribosomal RNA
Source: RNAcentral